This 465-nucleotide ribosomal RNA is filed under the name uncultured bacterium. RNAcentral's name for it is "partial 16S ribosomal RNA". It matches the Rfam family "Bacterial small subunit ribosomal RNA", at positions 28 to 507 of the family's 1533-position model. The record is from RNAcentral.
GACGAACGCUGGCGGCGUGCUUAACACAUGCAAGUCGUACGGUAAGGCCCUUUCGGGGGUACACGAGUGGCGCACGGGUGAGUAACACGUGCGUAACCUGCCCACAACUUUGGGAUAACGCUAGGAAACUGGUGCUAAUACUGGAUAUGUGCUCCUGCUGCAUGGUGGGGGUUGGAAAGCUCCGGCGGUUGUGGAUGGACUCGCGGCCUAUCAGCUUGUUGGUGGGGUAGUGGCCUACCAAGGCGGCGACGGGUAGCCGGCCUGAGAGGGUGACCGGCCAAAUUGGGAAUGAGAUACGGCCCAGACUCCUACGGGAGGCAGCAGUGGGGAAUAUUGCACAAUGGGCGCAAGCCUGAUGCAGCAACGCCGCGUGCGGGAUGACGGCCUUCGGGUUGUAAACCGCGUUCAGCAGGGACGAAGCUUUUUGUGACGGUACCUGCAGAAGAAGCACCGGCUAACUACGUG